Molecule: ribosomal RNA, 500 nt
Filed under: uncultured bacterium
Lineage: Bacteria
Description: partial 16S ribosomal RNA
Rfam family: Bacterial small subunit ribosomal RNA
Source: RNAcentral
GACGAACGCUGGCGGCGUGCUUAACACAUGCAAGUCGAACGGGCCUGCCUUCUUUUUUGGGGGGUGGGUUGAGUGGCGAACGGGUGAGUAUCACGUGAGUAACCUGCCCUUCGGUCCUGGAUAACCGCUUGAAAGGGCGGCUAAUACGGGGUGGUCCGGUUGGUCCGCAUGGGCUGGUCGGGAUAGAUUCACUGUUUUUGGUGUUUCGGCGGGGGAUGGGCUCGCGGCCUAUCAGCUUGUUGGUGGGGUGAUGGCCUACCAAGGCGGUGACGGGUAGCCGGCCUGAGAGGGUGGGCGGCCACACUGGGACUGAGAUACGGCCCAGACUCCUGCGGGAGGCAGCAGUGGGGGGUAUUGCACAAUGGGCGGAAGCCUGAUGCAGCGACGUCGCGUGAGGGAGGGAGGCCUUCGGGUUGUGAACCUCUGUUUCCGGUGGUGAAGGCCCUGUCCGUGUGGUGGGGUUGACGGUAGCCGGGGAUGAAGCGCCGGCUAACUACGUG